RNAcentral lists this transfer RNA (76 nucleotides) under Bacillota bacterium. RNAcentral's name for it is "tRNA-Thr". It matches the Rfam family "tRNA". From Rfam's summary of the family: Transfer RNA (tRNA) molecules are approximately 80 nucleotides in length. Their secondary structure includes four short double-helical elements and three loops (D, anti-codon, and T loops). Lineage: Bacteria; Bacillati; Bacillota. The record is from RNAcentral. RNAcentral also lists the same sequence under 1 other name.
GCUGGCGUAGCUCAGUCGGCAGAGCGAGCGAUUCGUAAUCGCUAGGUCGAGGGUUCAAGUCCCUCCGCCAGCUCCA